UUUCACGUAAGGGUUCACAAACAAAUAAAGUUUGAAAGAGCUAAAAGAAAGCUGAUUUUCCUUAAAAGAAAGAGUUUUGAAAUUCUUUUAAAAGAUACAAGAAAUAAGGGAAAGGGGGGGUCCUAUUUUAUUAACAAUAUAGAUCACCCCACACAAUGCCGGUAAUCGCUCCUCAAUGAGGGCUACGCGUGGCAUUAUCGUGUGGUCAUCAUAUGCAUAUCUACCCUCCCCACCCUGUUAAGGUAUUAAAGCGCGGAAUAGUCUUGUUUACUUAUUGCAUGCUAUUACUCGUCCCAAUCUUAUCAGUCCCGUAGGCAUUUAGGACUACUAUCCUAAGAGGGGAGAGAUAUUAGGUUUAUUUGUAGUUUUCAAAGGUAAAAACUCUAAGGCGACAUACAAAGCACGUAUUGCAAGUUGGGGAAAAAAAUAUAACAAGCAACAACUCAAAUAUACCUCCUUUAAUAAAGAAGCACAUAAUUAGCAUGACUUACACAUACUAGUUAAGGUCUGAUUAAACACUAAACGUGAGAGAACUUAAAGGUUGAGGCAUACUGAUUUAUUACAUAAUUAAGAUAAGAAGCCUGUAUCAGGCCUGCCUACUGGUUGUAGCUAUUAACAGAACCAGAUUUAGUUUAUAACUUUACCCUAAGGCUUACCUAAGUGUUGAAUAAGGAUCCUACAAGCAUGAUAUCCAUUGAAUUCAGAAAGAAGCGGAAUAACAAGGUCAAAAAAAUAAACUGGGCACGUAUAGGUUAAAAAAUGUAUCCAGCUUAAAAGAAAGGCAAGUUUUUAACGAAGAUUAUAAGUUCU
RNAcentral lists this long non-coding RNA (810 nucleotides) under Nicotiana benthamiana. RNAcentral describes it as "long non-coding RNA (NBEN_LNC038913)". Lineage: Eukaryota; Viridiplantae; Streptophyta; Magnoliopsida; Solanales; Solanaceae. The record is from RNAcentral.